This 253-nucleotide ribosomal RNA is filed under the name uncultured bacterium. Its description in RNAcentral is "partial 16S ribosomal RNA". It matches the Rfam family "Bacterial small subunit ribosomal RNA", at positions 524 to 776 of the family's 1533-position model. The record is from RNAcentral.
UACAGAGGUCCCAAGCGUUGUUCGGAUUCACUGGGCGUAAAGGGUGCGUAGGCGGAUUGCUAAGUCAGGGGUGAAAUCCUGGAGCUCAACUCCAGAACUGCCUUUGAUACUGGCGACCUUGAGUCCGGGAGAGGUGAGUGGAACUGCGAGUGUAGAGGUGAAAUUCGUAGAUAUUCGCAAGAACACCAGUGGCGAAGGCGGCUCACUGGCCCGGUACUGACGCUGAGGUGCGAAAGCGUGGGGAGCAAACAGG